GACGAACGCUGGCGGCGUGCUUAACACAUGCAAGUCGAACGGAAAGGCCUCUUUCGUGGGGUACUCGAGUGGCGAACGGGUGAGUAACACGUGAGUAACCUGCCCUUGACUUUGGGAUAACUUCAGGAAACUGGGGCUAAUACCGGAUAGGAGCUCCUGCUGCAUGGUGGGGGUUGGAAAGUUUCGGCGGUUGGGGAUGGACUCGCGGCUUAUCAGCUUGUUGGUGGGGUAGUGGCUUACCAAGGCUUUGACGGGUAGCCGGCCUGAGAGGGUGACCGGCCACAUUGGGACUGAGAUACGGCCCAGACUCCUACGGGAGGCAGCAGUGGGGAAUAUUGCACAAUGGGUGGAAGCCUGAUGCAGCAACGCCGUGUGCGGGAUGACGGCCUUCGGGUUGUAAACCGCUUUCGCUCAUGACGAAGCUUUGUGUGACGGUAGUGGGUAAAGAAGCACCGGCUAACUACGUG
Molecule: ribosomal RNA, 467 nt
Filed under: uncultured bacterium
Lineage: Bacteria
Description: partial 16S ribosomal RNA
Rfam family: Bacterial small subunit ribosomal RNA
Source: RNAcentral